This 917-nucleotide long non-coding RNA is filed under the name Marmota monax (woodchuck). The record is from RNAcentral. Lineage: Eukaryota; Metazoa; Chordata; Mammalia; Rodentia; Sciuridae.
GGGGACGGGGCUGGGUGGUCUAGGGCCCCUGAGUUCACUCCCUGGUACCAAGAUAAAAUAAAAUAAAAACAUAAGUCCUUGCUUGGCUCGUUUAAGGUCCUGGUUUGAUCCUGAGCCCUGUACAAAUAUAAACCUCAGGUAAAUCCGGUUACCUGCAUGUGACAGGUGAGAAGAGUGGGCGGGGGCACAGUGAGAUCAAGCACCCUGGCCCAGGACUCUGGCUGGUGGGCAGUGCUGCUGGGGUUCAAAGCCAAAUUUGGGGUGAUGGUCCUCAGACCGGCUUCCAGGGGAGACAGCACCAGGCCUGGACAGAGGGCCUUGGGCGCCCCCUGGUGGCCAAAACUGCUGAUUCCCCACCAGCUGCCCCUCACCUCCCUCCGCCUGCAGGGGGCGCCCUGCUCCAUGGGGCAAGAUGUCCCUUGUCAUCCUUAACUAGUAGCUCGUCUUCCAACGGGGCCAAUCAGUCCUUGGACACUUUGGGGAAAAGCCUCUGUCCUCGCUGCCUUUAAUCAUGACCCAAGGACCAGGCUGUCAGCGAGCCCUUUGGGGGGACUUGAACAUCAGACUUGGAGGUGAGAAAAUAAAUGACAGGGAUUUCGACACCCUGGGAAGGAUGAGGCUGGGAGGGCAGAGAUUUGUGGUAAGGAAACUGUGGCCAAAGUGUUCGAUUUUUUUUUCUCCCUGUCAACAGGCUCAAUGACAAAAUUAUUUCAGGGCUAAGACCCGGCCAGGAUUUAUGCAACCCAAGGAGUUCUGCACCCAACGCUGCAGUCCUGCCUCUGAGGUAUUGCAGAUCGGGCUUCAGAUCACAGCAAUAAAAACAUUUUGUCACAAUAAAGUGCGUCCCCUUGACUUUUUAAUUUGUAUUUUAAAUUCAUGGGCAAUGUGCAUACUUAUGAGUGGGCCGUGUGAUAUUU